RNAcentral lists this ribosomal RNA (446 nucleotides) under uncultured bacterium. Its description in RNAcentral is "bacterial SSU rRNA". It matches the Rfam family "Bacterial small subunit ribosomal RNA", at positions 217 to 662 of the family's 1533-position model. The record is from RNAcentral.
GGUAUGGGAUGAGCUUGCGUCCGAUUAACUAGUUGGCGGGGCAACGGCCCACCAAGGCGACGAUCGGUAGCCGGCCUGAGAGGGUGAUCGGCCACAUUGGGACUGAGAUACGGCCCAGACUCCUACGGGAGGCAGCAGUAGGGAAUAUUGCACAAUGGGGGAAACCCUGAUGCAGCAACGCCACGUGUGGGAAGAAGCAUUUCGGUGUGUAAACCACUGUCGUGAGGGAAUAAUACGCGGUUUCGGCCGCGGGGGAAUGUACCUCGAAAGGAAGCACCGGCAAACUUCGUGCCAGCAGCCGCGGUAAUACGAGGGGUGCAAGCGUUGUUCGGAAUCACUGGGCGUAAAGGGAGCGUAGGCGGAUGUUCAAGCGGAUUGUACAAUACCGGGGCCCAACCCCGGACCUGCAGUCCGAACUGGACAUCUUGGAUAGUUCAGGGGCAGGC